GUCGAAAAACUAUCAGAAAUUGACGAAAUUUAUAUAAUCAUAUGUUGCUUGGCAUAAUGAAACACUUAUUGUAUGAAUUUUUUGGAAAUGUGAUGAUCUAUUCCCCCUAGAAAAUCAAAUUAAAAUGUUUAUGACAGCAUUGCUGUAUUCCUAAAUCAUGCAUGUGCAUGUGAGAAUUUAAAAGAACGUAGCCCAGUAGGUAAGUUGUAUUGUUUCAAUAAAAGAUGUAAAACAUUUAUUUUAGAAAUAUACAAAUAUUUUCAUCAACAUUAAUGUAUCAUGCUAACCGUGCAUAUAUUUUCAUUAUGUUUAAACAAGAUUAAGCUAAACAUGAGUAUUUUUUCCAGACAAUUAUUUAAAUGAAUUUUUAUACAAGAGAGGCGUUAACAGCGGAGGAAGUACAUGAACAAUUCAAUAAGUCAUAUAUUCUUGGAGAGGUGCCAUUGAUUUUAAAAAAUAAAAGGAAAAUAUCCCCCCGAUUACAAUCUACAAGGAUAAUAAGAUAGAUUAGAGCUUUAAUAUGCAAUUUUAUUGGAUGUUAAUGCGUUGCUGACGGCGACUGCGUUUAACAUAUUUUUUUCUGUUAAAUUUCAUGUGAAACAUUUUUGGCAUAAAGUUUAUCAUUUAGUCAUUAUUCCUUGAUAAAAAUAGCACAGAAAUGCAUAAUUUAGCAUUGUACACACCCUGGAUGCAAUAUGUGUAUUUUCAGGAAUUUUAAAGAGUUUUGUUUUAAACAGCAUGCUUUGAACUUGUGCCUUCUUGAGAAGAUUUUAAAAUGUUUGUUUUAUUGAUUAAACAAUUUUUCAGUUGUAAGAAAAAAACACCCCCAGAUUGUUUUAUGAAUUUUGAACACAUCGAGCAUAACACUUACUGGACAACUAAAUGUUGAAAGGGAGAUAACUGCUUUUGUUGAUUGGAGAGAGAAAUGCCAAAAAGAGUUAUUUUUCGUAGAAUUUGUAUGAAAUUAACUGUACAUUAAUUUCAUUAAAUUAAACAAAAUGUC
This is a long non-coding RNA of Magallana angulata, 1003 nucleotides long. RefSeq lists it as uncharacterized. The transcript is spliced from 2 exons. Lineage: Eukaryota; Metazoa; Mollusca; Bivalvia; Ostreida; Ostreidae. The record is from RefSeq and is a predicted model, not a curated record.